This 346-nucleotide ribosomal RNA is filed under the name uncultured eukaryote. Its description in RNAcentral is "SSU rRNA". It matches the Rfam family "Eukaryotic small subunit ribosomal RNA", at positions 594 to 945 of the family's 1831-position model. The record is from RNAcentral.
AUAGCGUAUAUUAAAGUUGUUGCAGUUAAAAAGCUCGUAGUUGAAUUUCGAGAUCAAAUUGUUGGUCGUGCCUUGGUCCGCACUGGCAUUAUUGGUUUCUCCCUUCUGACGAACCAUGAUGUCAUUAAUUUGGUGUCUUGGGGAAUCAGGACUGUUACUUUGAAAAAAUUAGAGUGUUUAAAGCAGGCUCACGCUUGAAUACAUUAGCAUGGAAUAAUGAAAUAGGACGUUUGAUUCUAUUUUGUUGGUUUCUAGGAUCGACGUAAUGAUUAAUAGGGAUAGUUGGGGGCAUUAGUAUUCAAUUGUCAGAGGUGAAAUUCUUGGAUUUAUUGAAGACUAACUACUG